Molecule: long non-coding RNA, 1252 nt
Organism: Platichthys flesus (European flounder)
Lineage: Eukaryota; Metazoa; Chordata; Actinopteri; Pleuronectiformes; Pleuronectidae
Exons: 3
Source: RefSeq, a predicted model, not a curated record
CGCACCGCAGACGAGCAGCCCGACCCGGAGACGCAGCCCAGCGGAGCGCAGCGCGGGACCUGGCUGGCGCGUAACGGACUGAGGGAGCCCGACGCACCGCGGGAAUGAGCGCAGUUCCAGGCAAAACCCACAUGCUCGGACACUACUCCAUGCAGGCGUUUGACGUAUUGAUUCGUCAGAGAAGUGGUCCCAAGGUCGACAUGGCAACUGAACAUCCAGCCUCCUAAUGACUUAACCACAUCAACUCCUUCUCUUCUGCGCCAUUCACCCUCCCUCCAUCUGUCCCUUCAGGCACCAACCGUGGAUAGAACACGGCAGAACCAGAUCCCCAUGGCUGCGGUGAGACCAGAUCAAGCCAAUCCAGUUGUCGAGCGUGGAUCAAGGAUCAAGUAGCCAUGCACGCUGGUGCAGCUCCCAGAAACCAACAGGAGCCAAACCUUCAGAGGUUGUCCCACCACAUCACACAGAGUGUUCGUUUGUGAGUGUGUGUGUGUGUGUGUGUGUGUGUGUGUGUGUGUGUGUGUGUGUGUGUGACAGAAGCAGAGAAAAGAAACCAGGAUUUAAAGAUAAAAACCAUAAGAGCAAACCAAAUCUAUUUUGAAGUUUUGACUUCCUUCCUCACACAAGGCCUCAGCUUCCUUUCUUGUCGUCCCACAUGACACACCACCAUGAUCACUCACUGGCCUUUUCACGGGCCUGUGCUCUGGUCAAGGGUGAUUUGUUCGGUUUAUGGGCUUCUUCUCACAAGGUUGAGAAAUAUUUAAUCAAGUAACUGCGACCAGGGUUCAUACACAUUUUGACCAAUUGAUUUCCAUGACUUUUCCAUGACUUUUUAAUAACUUUAAACCAAAUUUCCAUGACCAAACAUUUUGUAAAAUCUCGAUAUAUACAUGAAAAAGUGACAACAUUUUGUAUUUCAGCUAACAAUGAGAAUUCCAAAGCAUACAGUAUACCUUAAAUUACACAAAUGAAUGAGAGACAAUAGUUUGAUUGAGGUCUUUGUCUGUUGUAACCCAUGGCAUGCACUUUUCCAUUUGUAGCAAAGCAUGGUUAAAUUUACACUUCCCUGGCAUUGUGCAUUAUCCAGCAUGCUUCCCCACCAAGCUUUUCAAUUAGUAUGAGAGCGUAUGCCUGCUUAUAUUUUGAGCGUAUUUCUUUUAAAAACAUAUGAAUUAUUUAAAACGCAGCAUAAUGAACGACAUGAAAUUAUGAAUAUAACAAGUUUCUAUGACCUCUCCAAAACUUUUGGGAU